Molecule: ribosomal RNA, 892 nt
Filed under: Pseudomonas sp.
Lineage: Bacteria; Pseudomonadati; Pseudomonadota; Gammaproteobacteria; Pseudomonadales; Pseudomonadaceae
Description: bacterial SSU rRNA
Rfam family: Bacterial small subunit ribosomal RNA
Source: RNAcentral
UGCAGUCGAGCGGUAGAGAGAAGCUUGCUUCUCUUGAGAGCGGGGACGGGUGAGUAAUGCCUAGAAAUCUGCCUGGUAGUGGGGGAUAACGCUCGGAAACGGACGCUCAUACCGCACACAUCCUACAGGAGAAAGCACGGGACCUUCGGGCCUUGCGCUAUCUCAUAAGCCUAGGUCGGAUUAUAUCUUUUGUGAGGUAAUGGGUCACCACGGCGACAAUACGUAACUGGUCUGAGAGGAUGAUCACUCACACUGUAACUGAGACACGGUCCACACUCCUACAGGAGGCGGCACUGGGGAAUAUUGGACAAUGGGCGAAAGCCUGAUCCCCCCCUGCCCCGUGUGUGAAAAAAGUCUUCGGAUUGUAAAGCACUUUUUGUUGGGAGGAAAGGGAUUAACCUAAUACAUUGGUGUCUUGACAUUACCGACAGAAUAAGCACCGGCGAACUCUCUGCCACCACCCGCGGUGAUACACAGAGUGCGCGCGUUAAUCGCAAUUACUGGGCGUAAAGCGCGCGUAGGUGGUUCGUUAAGUUGGAUGUGAAAUCCCCGGGCUCAACCUGGGAACUGCGUUCUCAACUGACAAGCUAUAGAAUGGUAUAGAGUGGUGGAAUUUCCUGUGUAGCGCGGAAAUGCGUAUAUAUAUGAGAGAGCACCAGUGGCGAAAGCGACCACCUGGACAGAUACUGACACUGAGGUGCGAAAGCGUGGGGAGCACACAGGAUUAGAUACCCCUGGGAGUCCACGCCCUAUACAAUAUCUACUAUACCCUGGGAGACUUGAGCUCUUAGUGGCGCACCUCACGCAUUAAGUUGACCGCCUGGGGGAGUACGGCCGCACAGUUAAAACUCACAUGAAUUGACAGGGGCCCGCACAAGCGGUGGAGCAUGUG